UACGUAGGGGGCAAGCGUUGUCCGGAUUUAUUGGGCGUAAAGAGCGUGUAGGCGGCCAGGUAGGUCUGCUGUGAAAACUCGAGGCUUAACCUCGAGCUGUCGGCGGAAACCAUCUGGCUAGAGUCCGGAAGAGGAGAAUGGAAUUCCCGGUGUAGCGGUGAAAUGCGCAGAUAUCGGGAAGAACACCAGUGGCGAAGGCGAGUCCCUGGACAUCUCCUGACACUGAGGCACGAAAGCUAGGGGAGCAAACAGG
This 253-nucleotide ribosomal RNA is filed under the name uncultured bacterium. Its description in RNAcentral is "partial 16S ribosomal RNA". It matches the Rfam family "Bacterial small subunit ribosomal RNA", at positions 524 to 776 of the family's 1533-position model. The record is from RNAcentral.